UAACGAAUAUUCCGCAAUGCGCGAAAGCGUGACGGAGCAAUGCCGCGUGCAGGAUGAAGCCCCUCGGGGUGUAAACUGCUGUCAGGGUUUAGGAACACCAUGACCAAACCCAAAGGAAGGACCGGCUAACUCUGUGCCAGCAGCCGCGGUAAUACAGAGGGUCCAAGCGUUGAUCGGAAUCACUGGGCUUAAAGGGUUCGCAGGCGGACUGGCAAGUAUGUUGUGAAAUCCCACGGCUCAACCGUGGAAUUGCUUCGUAGACUGCCAGUCUUGAGCACGACAGGGGCCAUCAGAACGAUAGGUGGAGCGGUGAAAUGCGUAGAUAUCUAUCGGAAUGCCAAAGGUGAAGACAGAUGGCUGGGUCGUCGCUGACGCUCAGGAACGAAAGCAUGGGUAGCGAACGGGAUUAGAUACCCGUGUAGUCC
Molecule: ribosomal RNA, 425 nt
Filed under: uncultured prokaryote
Description: bacterial SSU rRNA
Rfam family: Bacterial small subunit ribosomal RNA
Source: RNAcentral